Molecule: transfer RNA, 72 nt
Filed under: bacterium
Lineage: Bacteria
Also listed under: 2 other names
Description: tRNA-Thr
Rfam family: tRNA
About the family: Transfer RNA (tRNA) molecules are approximately 80 nucleotides in length. Their secondary structure includes four short double-helical elements and three loops (D, anti-codon, and T loops).
Source: RNAcentral
GCCGACGUAGCUCAGUGGUAGAGCAACGCUUUCGUAAAGCGUAGGCCGGUGGUUCGAAUCCACUCGUCGGCU